GCACUCCUACGGGAGGCAGCAGUGGGGAAUAUUGCACAAUGGGCGCAAGCCUGAUGCAGCCAUGCCGCGUGUAUGAAGAAGGCCUUCGGGUUGUAAAGUACUUUCAGCAGUGAGGAAGGUGGGUAUGUUAAUAGCAUACUCAUUUGACGUUAGCUGCAGAAGAAGCACCGGCUAACUCCGUGCCAGCAGCCGCGGUAAUACGGAGGGUGCGAGCGUUAAUCGGAAUUACUGGGCGUAAAGCGCAUGCAGGUGGUUUGUUAAGUCAGAUGUGAAAGCCCGGGGCUCAACCUCGGAAUUGCAUUUGAAACUGGCAAACUAGAGUACUGUAGAGGGGGUAGAAUUUCAGGUGUAGCGGUGAAAUGCGUAGAGAUCUGAAGGAAUACCGGUGGCGAAGGCGGCCCCCUGGACAGAUACUGACACUCAGAUGCGAAAGCGUGGGGAGCAAACAGGAUUAGAUACCCUGGAG
Molecule: ribosomal RNA, 466 nt
Filed under: uncultured bacterium
Lineage: Bacteria
Description: bacterial SSU rRNA
Rfam family: Bacterial small subunit ribosomal RNA
Source: RNAcentral